CUAAAAUCGCGAGUUGGAUUCCGAUUCUGCGAGUUUGAGAAGAAAGUUUUUAGGGUUCACCAGAUUAGGGUUUUAGAGCUUUUCGUUAAACUCACUUCUUUUGUUCUCACUGUUCAUCUCCUUUCUCGUGCUCUCGCCGUCAAUCUCAUCGAUCUCGCCUCUGUCGCGCCAUUGUUCAUCAAGUUCACCCUCUGUCGCGUCGUCGAUCUCGCCCUCCGUCACACCUUCCUUGUCGUCGUUCGAUCUCGCUUCAUUCAUGCCGUCGCAGUUGAUUUCGCUGUCGCCAUCGAUCUGGC
This 296-nucleotide long non-coding RNA is filed under the name Vigna radiata. RNAcentral's name for it is "long non-coding RNA (VRAD_LNC014289)". The record is from RNAcentral. Lineage: Eukaryota; Viridiplantae; Streptophyta; Magnoliopsida; Fabales; Fabaceae.